UGAUGACCAGAGUGGCAGCGUGGUGAUAUUUGGUGGCAUUGACUCUUCUUACUACACUGGAAGUCUGAACUGGGUGCCUGUUACUGUCGAGGGUUACUGGCAGAUCACCGUGGAC
This 115-nucleotide small RNA is filed under the name Pongo abelii (Sumatran orangutan). RNAcentral's name for it is "processed transcript". Lineage: Eukaryota; Metazoa; Chordata; Mammalia; Primates; Hominidae. The record is from RNAcentral.